This 627-nucleotide ribosomal RNA is filed under the name Triticum aestivum (bread wheat). Its description in RNAcentral is "partial small subunit ribosomal RNA". Lineage: Eukaryota; Viridiplantae; Streptophyta; Magnoliopsida; Poales; Poaceae. The record is from RNAcentral.
AUGAGCAGGUCGGAGUCGGCGCCGGGGGCAGCACCGGCCGUGGUGGUGAAGACGGUGGACCUGCAAACGGCGGCGACACCGGACGUGGGGGCGACGACGGUGGACGUGCAGACGACGGUGGCACCGGACGUGGGGGUGACGACGGUGGACGUGCAAAUGGCGGCGGCACGGGCCGUGGCGGUGACGACGGUGGACGUGCAGACGGCGGCGAGGGAGCUCCAGGAGCAGCAGGACGGCAUGAUGUACCUGGACGUGAGGACGGAGGAGGAGAUGGGGAAGGGCCACAUCCGCGGCUCCCUCAACGUCCCCUACUUCUUCGUCACGCCACAAGGGACCCGGGAGAAGAACCCACGGUUCGUGGAGCAGGUCGCCUCGCUCUUCAGCACAGACCAACACAUACUCGUCUUGUACUACUAUACUACUACCACUAAUCAUCCAUGGAUGGAGGAGCAGGGGUGUCAGAGCGGCAAGAGGUCCGAGCUUGCCUGCAUCGAUCUUCUAGCAGCUGGAUUCAUGAAUGUGAAGAACGUGGGAGGAGGCUACGCUGCAUGGCUGCACAACGGACUCCCAGUGACAGUAGCAGUCCCCACGCCGCCACCAACACCUGAAUCUGCUGCAGCAAUCUGA